This is a long non-coding RNA of Humulus lupulus (European hop), 1177 nucleotides long. RefSeq lists it as uncharacterized. The record is from RefSeq and is a predicted model, not a curated record. Lineage: Eukaryota; Viridiplantae; Streptophyta; Magnoliopsida; Rosales; Cannabaceae. The transcript has 4 exons.
UUAUAUUAAAUUAUUUAUUAAUAAAACACUAAAAUAUGAAACUAAUAAGAAAUAUAUUUUAAUUCAAACAAAGUAAAUUAAAAGAAAAAAAAUGGCUUUCCUUUUUCUCUCUCCCCUUCUUCCCCGAUUCACUCUCUCUCUCUCUCUCACUUAUCUUCUUCCUCAAAACCCCCGACUACUCCCUCUUUCUCUCCCACUUUCUUUCUCCUUUUCUUCUCUCUUCUCCUACACCUCCCAAAUUCCUCCCUCUCUCUCUCUAUAUAUAUCCCUUAUCUACUUACCCUCGUGGAGGGUCGGGCUUGCGGAGGGUCGUGGAUCGAGGAUGGGGUUAUGGACGGGGUUGGAGGGCUCGGUCUCGCAGAGGGUCGUGGGUGGCUCGGUCUCGCAGAGAGGUCAUGGGUGGCUUGGGCUAGCGGAGAGGUCGUGGGUGAUGAGGAAGAGGUGUGGGUCUAGGCUCGUGGUCUUCCUUGUGCCAGAUGCAGGCUCAUUGGCAGAGAUGGGUAUUGGGAAAACGGUGGGGGCUCGGGGGCCGGUCAUCGGUAAAUGGCGCAAAUGACAGGGGCUCGUGGGUCUUGUGAAAAUGAUGCAAACGACGGGCUCAGGGUCAUGGGUGGCUCGAUCUUGCAGAGGGGGUGGGUGGCUCGGUCUCGCAGAGGGGGUGGGUGGCUCGGUCUCACAGAGGGGUCGUAGGUGGCUCGGUCUCGCAGAGGGGUCUGAGCCCCCUCUUCUUUCUUCUUGAAAUUUUGGUUCAAGUUUUGAUUUUCUCAGACCACAAGACGUUGGGACCUUCUCUAUUCUGCUCAUGGUGGUGGACUAGACUUAAAUUGUUAUCUCUUCUCUUGGUCAGGUGAGUGAGGCAUGACUCAUGCAUGUGAAGGAGUUGUUCAGCUUCUCUUCUCAGUGUUAGUGGCUAAAACUCUACUUGGAUAUUUAAGAGAACCAAGACAAUUAUAUAAGAGAACCAAGGCAACAAGAAAUUCUUCUUCAAGUUGUUAGGUAUUAUUUUCUUUCUUGCUUGUAAGAAUUAUGUACAGUGAGGUUUUUAUUUAUGUAUAUAGUUUUGUUGUGUUCUACCAUUGUAUGUAAUAGAUAGAUUAAUUUCAAUUGUAAAAGUUAGUUUUUUUUUUUUUAAAAAGAAGACAAUUAAAUUGUUAAUAUAAUUAGCUCCUUCUAAAGA